Molecule: ribosomal RNA, 1025 nt
Filed under: Bifidobacterium pseudocatenulatum
Lineage: Bacteria; Bacillati; Actinomycetota; Actinomycetes; Bifidobacteriales; Bifidobacteriaceae
Description: bacterial SSU rRNA
Rfam family: Bacterial small subunit ribosomal RNA
Source: RNAcentral
CCGCUUUUGAUCGGGAGCAAGCCUUCGGGUGAGUGUACCUUUCGAAUAAGCACCCGGCUAACUACGUGCCAGCAGCCGCGGUAAUACGUAGGGUGCAAGCGUUAUCCGGAAUUAUUGGGCGUAAAGGGCUCGUAGGCGGUUCGUCGCGUCCGGUGUGAAAGUCCAUCGCUUAACGGUGGAUCUGCGCCGGGUACGGGCGGGCUGGAGUGCGGUAGGGGAGACUGGAAUUCCCGGUGUAACGGUGGAAUGUGUAGAUAUCGGGAAGAACACCAAUGGCGAAGGCAGGUCUCUGGGCCGUUACUGACGCUGAGGAGCGAAAGCGUGGGGAGCGAACAGGAUUAGAUACCCUGGUAGUCCACGCCGUAAACGGUGGAUGCUGGAUGUGGGGCCCGUUCCACGGGUUCCGUGUCGGAGCUAACGCGUUAAGCAUCCCGCCUGGGGAGUACGGCCGCAAGGCUAAAACUCAAAGAAAUUGACGGGGGCCCGCACAAGCGGCGGAGCAUGCGGAUUAAUUCGAUGCAACGCGAAGAACCUUACCUGGGCUUGACAUGUUCCCGACAGCCGUAGAGAUAUGGCCUCCCUUCGGGGCGGGUUCACAGGUGGUGCAUGGUCGUCGUCAGCUCGUGUCGUGAGAUGUUGGGUUAAGUCCCGCAACGAGCGCAACCCUCGCCCUGUGUUGCCAGCACGUCAUGGUGGGAACUCACGGGGGACCGCCGGGGUCAACUCGGAGGAAGGUGGGGAUGACGUCAGAUCAUCAUGCCCCUUACGUCCAGGGCUUCACGCAUGCUACAAUGGCCGGUACAACGGGAUGCGACACGGCGACGUGGAGCGGAUCCCUGAAAACCGGUCUCAGUUCGGAUUGGAGUCUGCAACCCGACUCCAUGAAGGCGGAGUCGCUAGUAAUCGCGGAUCAGCAACGCCGCGGUGAAUGCGUUCCCGGGCCUUGUACACACCGCCCGUCAAGUCAUGAAAGUGGGUAGCACCCGAAGCCGGUGGCCUAACCCUUUGUGGANGGAGCCGUCUAA